AACGAACGCUGGCGGCAUGCCUAACACAUGCAAGUCGAACGAGACCUUCGGGUCUAGUGGCGCACGGGUGCGUAAAGCGUGGGAACCUGCCCUUAGGUUCGGAAUAACUCCCCGAAAGGGGUGCUAAUACCGGAUAAUGUCUUCGGACCCAAGAUUUAUCGCCUUUGGAUGGGCCCGCGUUGGUUUAGCUGGUUGGUAGGGUAAAAGCCUACCAAGGCGACGAUCCAUAGCUGGUCUGAGAGGAUGAUCAGCCACACUGGGACUGAGACACGGCCCAGACUCCUACGCGAGGCAGCAGUGGGGAAUAUUGGACAAUGGGCGAAAGCCUGAUCCAGCAAUGCCGCGUGAGUGAUGAAGGCCUUAGGGUUGUAAAGCUCUUUUACCCGGGAUGAUAAUGACAGUACCGGGAGAAUAAGCUCCGGCUAACUCCGUG
Molecule: ribosomal RNA, 433 nt
Filed under: uncultured bacterium
Lineage: Bacteria
Description: partial 16S ribosomal RNA
Rfam family: Bacterial small subunit ribosomal RNA
Source: RNAcentral